This 254-nucleotide ribosomal RNA is filed under the name uncultured bacterium. Its description in RNAcentral is "partial 16S ribosomal RNA". It matches the Rfam family "Bacterial small subunit ribosomal RNA", at positions 524 to 776 of the family's 1533-position model. The record is from RNAcentral.
CACGUAGGGUGCGAGCGUUGUCCGGAAUUAUUGGGCGUAAAGAGCUCGUAGGCGGUGUGUCGCGUCGGCCGUGAAAACCUGCAGCUUAACUGUGGGCGUGCGGGCGAUACGGGCAGACUGGAGUACUGCAGGGGAGACUGGAAUUCCUGGUGUAGCGGUGGAAUGCGCAGAUAUCAGGAGGAACACCGGUGGCGAAGGCGGGUCUCUGGGCCGAUAUUGACGCUGAGGAGCGAAAGCGUGGGGGAGCGAACAGG